RNAcentral lists this ribosomal RNA (395 nucleotides) under Calanus glacialis. RNAcentral's name for it is "SSU rRNA". It matches the Rfam family "Eukaryotic small subunit ribosomal RNA", at positions 930 to 1323 of the family's 1831-position model. The record is from RNAcentral. RNAcentral also lists the same sequence under 1 other name. Lineage: Eukaryota; Metazoa; Arthropoda; Copepoda; Calanoida; Calanidae.
UGAAGACAAACUACUGCGAAAGCAUUUGCCAAGAAUGUUUUCAUUAAUCAAGAACGAAAGUUAAAGGUUCGAAGGCGAUUAGAUACCGCCCUAGUUUUAACCAUAAACGAUGCCAGCUAGCGAUCUGCGGACGUUUUUUUUGUAGACUCCGCAGGAAGCUUCCGGGAAACCAAAGCAUUUGGGUUCCAGGGGAAGUAUGGUUGCAAAGCUGAAACUUAAAGGAAUUGACGGAAGGGCACCACCAGGAGUGGAGCCUGUGGCUUAAUUUGACUCAACACGGGAAAUCUCACCAGGCCCGGACACUGGAAGGAUUGACAGAUUGAUAGCUCUUUCUUGAUUCGGUGGGUGGUGGUGCAUGGCCGUUCUUAGUUGGUGGAGUGAUUUGUCUGGUUAAU